UGGGGAAUAUUGGACAAUGGGGGGAACCCUGAUCCAGCCAUGCCGCGUGUGUGAAGAAGGCCUUAUGGUUGUAAAGCACUUUAAGCGAGGAGGAGGGUACUGGUAUUAAUACUACCAGGUACUGGACGUUACUCGCAGAAUAAGCACCGGCUAACUCUGUGCCAGCAGCCGCGGUAAUACAGAGGGUGCGAGCGUUAAUCGGAUUUACUGGGCGUAAAGCGUGCGUAGGCGGCUAAUUGAGUCGGAUGUGAAAUCCCCGAGCUUAACUUGGGAAUUGCAUCCAAAACUGGCGAGCUGGAGUAGGGCAGAGGGUGGUGGAAUUUCCUGUGUAGCGGUGAAAUGCGUAGAUAUAGGAAGGAACGCCAGUGGCGGAGGCGACCACCUGGGCUCAUACUGACACUGAGGUGCGAAAGCGUGGGGAGCAAGCAGG
Molecule: ribosomal RNA, 430 nt
Filed under: Pseudomonadota bacterium
Lineage: Bacteria; Pseudomonadati; Pseudomonadota
Description: Proteobacteria bacterium partial 16S ribosomal RNA
Rfam family: Bacterial small subunit ribosomal RNA
Source: RNAcentral